GACGAACGCUGGCGGCGUGCCUAAUACAUGCAAGUCGAACGCUGAAGGAGGAGCUUGCUUCUCUGGAUGAGUUGCGAACGGGUGAGUAACGCGUAGGUAACCUGCCUGGUAGCGGGGGAUAACUAUUGGAAACGAUAGCUAAUACCGCAUAAUAGCAGUUGUUGCAUGACAACUGUUUGAAAGGUGCAAUUGCACCACUACCAGAUGGACCUGCGUUGUAUUAGCUAGUUGGUGGGGUAACGGCUCACCAAGGCGACGAUACAUAGCCGACCUGAGAGGGUGAUCGGCCACACUGGGACUGAGACACGGCCCAGACUCCUACGGGAGGCAGCAGUAGGGAAUCUUCGGCAAUGGACGGAAGUCUGACCGAGCAACGCCGCGUGAGUGAAGAAGGUUUUCGGAUCGUAAAGCACUGUUGUAAGAGAAGAACGAGUGUGAGAGUGGAAAGUUCACACUGUGACGGUAUCUUACCAGAAAGGGACGGCUAACUACGUGC
RNAcentral lists this ribosomal RNA (496 nucleotides) under uncultured bacterium. Its description in RNAcentral is "partial 16S ribosomal RNA". It matches the Rfam family "Bacterial small subunit ribosomal RNA", at positions 28 to 508 of the family's 1533-position model. The record is from RNAcentral.